GAUGAACGCUGGCGGCGUGCCUAAUACAUGCAAGUCGAGCGAACGGACGAGAAGCUUGCUUCUCUGAUGUUAGCGGCGGACGGGUGAGUAACACGUGGAUAACCUACCUAUAAGACAGGGGUAACUUCGGGAAACCGGAGCUAAUACCGGAUAAUAUUUUGAACCGCAUGGUUCAAAAGUGAAAGACGGUCUUGCUGUCACUUAUAGAUGGAUCCGCGCUGCAUUAGCUAGUUGGUAAGGUAACGGCUUACCAAGGCAACGAUGCAUAGCCGACCUGAGAGGGUGAUCGGCCACACUGGAACUGAGACACGGUCCAGACUCCUACGGGAGGCAGCAGUAGGGAAUCUUCCGCAAUGGGCGAAAGCCUGACGGAGCAACGCCGCGUGAGUGAUGAAGGUCUUCGGAUCGUAAAACUCUGUUAUUAGGGAAGAACAUAUGUGUAAGUAACUGUGCACAUCUUGACGGUACCUAAUCAGAAAGCCACGGCUAACUACGUG
This 497-nucleotide ribosomal RNA is filed under the name uncultured bacterium. RNAcentral's name for it is "partial 16S ribosomal RNA". It matches the Rfam family "Bacterial small subunit ribosomal RNA", at positions 28 to 507 of the family's 1533-position model. The record is from RNAcentral.